Molecule: ribosomal RNA, 1201 nt
Filed under: uncultured bacterium
Lineage: Bacteria
Description: bacterial SSU rRNA
Rfam family: Bacterial small subunit ribosomal RNA
Source: RNAcentral
GUUUAAAGGUGCUUCUGGCACCGCUGAUGGAUGAGCCUGCGGCGCAUUAGCUAGUUGGUAGGGUAAAGGCCUACCAAGGCGACGAUGCGUAGCCGGCCUGAGAGGGCGGACGGCCACAUUGGGACUGAGACACGGCCCAAACUCCUACGGGAGGCAGCAGUAGGGAAUUUUCGUCAAUGGGGGGAACCCUGAACGAGCAAUGCCGCGUGAGUGAGGAAGGUCUUCGGAUCGUAAAGCUCUGUUGUAAGAGAAAAACGACAUUCAUAGGGAAUGAUGAGUGAGUGAUGGUAUCUUACCAGAAAGUCACGGCUAACUACGUGCCAGCAGCCGCGGUAAUACGUAGGUGGCGAGCGUUAUCCGGAAUGAUUGGGCGUAAAGGGUGCGUAGGUGGCAGAACAAGUCUGGAGUAAAAGGUAUGGGCUCAACCCGUACUGGCUCUGGAAACUGUUCAGCUAGAGAACAGAAGAGGACGGCGGAACUCCAUGUGUAGCGGUAAAAUGCGUAGAUAUAUGGAAGAGCACCGGUGGCGAAGGCGGCCGUCUGGUCUGUUGCUGACACUGAAGCACGAAAGCGUGGGGAGCAAAUAGGAUUAGAUACCCUAGUAGUCCACGCCGUAAACGAUGAGAACUAGGUGUUGGGGGAAUAACUCAGUGCCGCAGUUAACGCAAUAAGUUCUCCGCCUGGGGAGUAUGCACGCAAGUGUGAAACUCAAAGGAAUUGACGGGGGCCCGCACAAGCGGUGGAGUAUGUGGUUUAAUUCGAAGCAACGCGAAGAACCUUACCAGGCCUUGACAUCCCUUGCAGAGGUAUAGAGAUAUAUCCGAGGUUAUCAAGGAGACAGGUGGUGCAUGGUUGUCGUCAGCUCGUGUCGUGAGAUGUUGGGUUAAGUCCCGCAACGAGCGCAACCCUUGUGAUAUGUUACUAACAUUGAGUUGAGGACUCAUAUCAGACUGCCGGUGAUAAACCGGAGGAAGGUGGGGAUGACGUCAAAUCAUCAUGCCCCUUAUGGCCUGGGCUACACACGUACUACAAUGGCGUCUACAAAGAGCGGCAAGCCUGUGAAGGCAAGCGAAUCUCAUAAAGGACGUCUCAGUUCGGAUUGAAGUCUGCAACCCGACUUCAUGAAGCUGGAAUCGCUAGUAAUCGCGAAUCAGCAUGUCGCGGUGAAUACGUUCUCGGGCCUUGUACACACCGCCCGUCA